AUACGUACCUGGCAGGGAUGAUACCAUGACCACAAAGAUGGUUUCCCAUUGUGAGGCUUAUCCAUUCCAUUCCAGAUGUGCUGACCCCUGCAAUUUCCCCAAACAUGGAAAACUCAACUGCAUAAUUUGUGGUAGUGGGGGACUGUGUUCAUGUUUUCCACGCCACCCCCCA
This 172-nucleotide small nuclear RNA is filed under the name Microcebus murinus (gray mouse lemur). RNAcentral's name for it is "U1 spliceosomal RNA (ENSMICG00000030576.2)". It matches the Rfam family "U1 spliceosomal RNA". Rfam says of the family: U1 is a small nuclear RNA (snRNA) component of the spliceosome (involved in pre-mRNA splicing). Its 5' end forms complementary base pairs with the 5' splice junction, thus defining the 5' donor site of an intron. There are significant differences in sequence and secondary structure between metazoan and yeast U1 snRNAs, the latter being much longer (568 nucleotides as compared to 164 nucleotides in human). The record is from RNAcentral. Lineage: Eukaryota; Metazoa; Chordata; Mammalia; Primates; Cheirogaleidae.